AGUCGCCAUUUUACCGGAAGUCCCCAGCUGACCAACAUCCGGUACAAACAGUCGUCUGCUUUCUUUCCGUAGCUCUCAGUCCACUAUUCAGAUUUUCUACUGUUCAUAUCCAUCAGAAUAAAUCCGUGUCGGUACCGGAGUUGGAGGCACGAGACGUAAGACCGUGAAUGACCGAAAAUGGCGGUCGAUCGCCGCGAGGACAAAGAUGGCGAGCUCAACGUUCUGGAAGAUAUCUUAACUGAAGCACCAGAUCACGACGAUGAGCUUUAUAACCCUGAAACUGAGCGACACAUCACAGACAAGAAAGGAGCAAAACGAAAGAGUGAACAUUCAGAGAGCCACGAUCGAAAGAGGCAGCGGACCUCUUCCAGCCACACCUCCUCCAGGUCGUCCAUCACCAACAAGAGAGGCUCAGGAGCCCCUCUUUCAUCUUCCUCCUCUAAGAGGGCAGCGAGUAGUCCACAUGGCCGCCAUGGCAGCAGUAGCUACCGCGGCGAUUACUAUGAGGAGCGAAAGAGCCGCAGAGGAGCACGAGAUGCUACCAGGAGUCGAGGAGGCGAGGCUGCUCGACGUCGAGAUUCUCCCAGAGACCUGGAAGGUGUCAACCAGAAGCCGCUGCGUGAUGAGCGUCAGACAAGCCCCUCCCACCGUCUGGAAGGUAACCAAUCAGAAGAGGAUGCAGCACCAGAAUAUGGCUCAGAGCAGCGGUCAGGAAGCUCCUCCCCCGCUGCCUCUCAUGAAGAAGAAGAACAAGACGAGGAUGAAGAAGAAGAGGGUGAGGAAGAAGAGGAGGAGGAUGACGAAGAGGAGGAGGAAGAUGAGGAAGGAGAGAAAAACGAGGAAGAUGAGGAGGAGGAAGAGGAGUAUGAACGGCGUGGCGAGGGUAAUGACUACGAUACUCGCAGUGAGGCGGGUGAUUCUCGCUCUGCGUCCUCCAUCAGUUUUUCCGACGAUGGCGAGUCAGCGCACUCUGCCUCGGCCUCUGAUGCCUCAGGUUCAGAGAAGAAACGGGAGAAGCUGUCAUCAUCAGUGCGAGCCGUCCGCAAAGGAAUGGAAAAUCCAACUGGUAAUCUUCGUUACAUCCUGCAGGACGCUCGCUUCUUCCUCAUCAAGAGUAACAACCAUGAGAACGUAUCUCUGGCUAAAGCUAAAGGCGUUUGGUCCACGCUGCCUGUCAACGAGAAGAAACUCAACGCAGCGUUCCGCUCAGUUCGCAGCGUCAUCCUGGUUUUUUCUGUGCGAGAGAGCGGUAAAUUCCAAGGUUUUGCUCGCUUGGCUUCAGAGUCCCAACAUGGCGGCUCUCCCAUUCACUGGGUUCUUCCUGCUGGCAUGAAUGCCAAGAUGCUGGGUGGAGUCUUUAAAAUCGACUGGCUGUGCAGACGAGAACUUCCGUUUACCAAGACGACACAGCUUUCAAAUCCCUGGAAUGAGCACAAGCCAGUCAAGAUUGGCCGCGAUGGACAGGAAAUACAACCGGAUGUCGGCGCUCAGCUCUGUUUGCUGUUCCCGUUGGACGAAAGCGUGGAUAUCCACCAGGUGGCUGGCCGUAUUCGUCACAAGCGCCGAACGCCAUCUGCAACACGGCCUCGUGGCCGACCGCCGCUGCGUGAACCGGGAAGGUUAGCCAUUCGCCAAGCUCCUCCCACUUCCUGUUGUUCUUCUCCUGCUUCAACCACGGCUCCACCUGCCGCCGGACAUGGAAGACCCCCCGCUGCUGUUAGCCCGUGGCUAGCAUUGCACCUACUCGGGUUGAGGUCAUUGUUGCUCUCCCAGUCUGCAAUUUUCCACCGGAGUGACGCCUCGCUGUGCGUCCAGCAUCUUGGGUCAAAGUUGAUAAGUGAGGCAGGAAGUUGACGUUGCUGAGGUGGUGCUCGGCUAACAGUCAUGUUUUUCUCUUUGAUGUGAAGAGAAGGUGUAUUUAGCGAAAUGUUUGCCCUCUAGAUGGACUGACCCUUUCAUAAAAGAAAGGACGAGCUGGACUGAUGGAAACGUGAAGGGGCGAGGGAGCUAAAACACAGAGAGGGACUGUGAUCUUCCAUGGACUGUUUCUGGGGGUUUUGGAAGGUGGGGCAGGUUGGGGGAGGGGUCACUGGACUCUAUCCAAUGAGGGAUGACAAUCAGGUAAUUACUGAAAAGAUGGACUCUUAAAAGGUGGACCUAUAUAAUCCCCCCUCCCAUGAGAGAACAAUUAAAAAGAAGCCAACACACACGCUUAAUAAGGACAGUGUUGUUGGGUGUGUGUGUGUGUGUUUGAAGGACUAAACCACAGUCUGGAGAGGUGGGGCUCCUUUUGCCAAGGGCGGGAAAUUGGUUUAUUGACUGACAGGACUGCACCACCAUUAUACCCCCACCUUUUCACAUUAUUUAAAAAUCCUUAUGGACGGAGCUAGAAUCCAAAGUCCACAUUUACCUCACAAGCGGCGUCGUCUUGAAGAGUACGACCUUCAUGGCAGGAAGCGACCUCGAGUUGAGUGUCCAGACUUCAACCAGCGAUCAGGUUGUGAAAUGAAAGUCACUGAAAAGAAAAAAACAAGCCUGAAAUGUUCUCCAUUGUGUUCUUUGACAUUU
Molecule: RNA transcript, 2568 nt
Organism: Doryrhamphus excisus (bluestripe pipefish)
Lineage: Eukaryota; Metazoa; Chordata; Actinopteri; Syngnathiformes; Syngnathidae
Gene: ythdc1
Gene name: YTH N6-methyladenosine RNA binding protein C1
Source: RefSeq, a predicted model, not a curated record